GGAUAUGAGGGCGAUCUGGCUGCGACAUCAGUCACCCCAUAGAUCGCCAGGGUUGAUUUGGCUGAUCUGGCUGACUAGGCGGGUGUCCCCUUCCUCCCUCACUGUGCCAUGUGCAUCCCUCCCGAAGUUGUGCGCUUGAUGAAAGAGGACAGCCUUCCUGGAAUAGAGACAGAACUGGUCUUAAGUUGAGGGUAUACUAGUAGCUGCGCUCCCCUGCUAGAACCUCCAAACAAGCUCUAAUUUAACCCUACAAUAAAAAUACAUACAGUUUAUUUAGUUUUUUUAAGGUUUUUUU
This 295-nucleotide small nuclear RNA is filed under the name Erinaceus europaeus (western European hedgehog). RNAcentral's name for it is "7SK RNA". It matches the Rfam family "7SK RNA". From Rfam's summary of the family: 7SK was discovered as an abundant small nuclear RNA in the mid-70s but a possible function has only recently been suggested. Two independent studies have found that 7SK RNA binds the CDK9/cyclin T complex (known as elongation factor P-TEFb). P-TEFb activates transcription by phosphorylating the C-terminal domain of RNA polymerase II. The record is from Rfam by way of RNAcentral. Lineage: Eukaryota; Metazoa; Chordata; Mammalia; Eulipotyphla; Erinaceidae.